This 460-nucleotide ribosomal RNA is filed under the name Staphylococcus aureus. Its description in RNAcentral is "partial 23S ribosomal RNA". It matches the Rfam family "Bacterial large subunit ribosomal RNA", at positions 1422 to 1878 of the family's 2925-position model. Lineage: Bacteria; Bacillati; Bacillota; Bacilli; Caryophanales; Staphylococcaceae. The record is from RNAcentral.
UAACAGGUUGAUAUUCCUGUACCACCUAUAAUCGUUUUAAUCGAUGGGGGGACGCAGUAGGAUAGGCGAAGCGUGCGAUUGGAUUGCACGUCUAAGCAGUAAGGCUGAGUAUUAGGCAAAUCCGGUACUCAUUAAGGCUGAGCUGUGAUGGGGAGAAGACAUUGUGUCUUCGAGUCGUUGAUUUCACACUGCCGAGAAAAGCCUCUAGAUAGAAAAUAGGUGCCCGUACCGCAAACCGACACAGGUAGUCAAGAUGAGAAUUCUAAGGUGAGCGAGCGAACUCUCGUUAAGGAACUCGGCAAAAUGACCCCGUAACUUCGGGAGAAGGGGUGCUCUUUAGGGUUAACGCCCAGAAGAGCCGCAGUGAAUAGGCCCAAGCGACUGUUUAUCAAAAACACAGGUCUCUGCUAAACCGUAAGGUGAUGUAUAGGGGCUGACGCCUGCCCGGUGCUGGAAGGUU